AUGGGCCUGGCAGAAGCCAUCACCUCCACCUGCCUGCCCGGCCACAGCUGGAAGAGCGUGAUAUUUGAAGAGAAAGUCAGUCCCGGGACAUCCCUCGCUCCAAGGAUGAAAGGGCUCUGCAUCCUGAGUUCCAUCGUGGGCAAAAUCCUGAGCGCUCUCCAGCGGCUGAUGUUGCUCCUUGCCAUCCUGAUCUACACCAUCUUCUUGGCUGAGAUUGCCUUCCAUGUCAUCCUCUCGUUCUCCAUCCCGUGCACCAUUCUGUGUGACCACCUGGUUCCCGCCUCAGUGGCCUUUCUGGACGCUCUGUCCCCUGCCACCGAAGUCUUCUACAACGACGUGCUGGGGUCCCUUUUGCUUUUCUUGAGCGCCCUCCUCCUACCCAUGACGGCUGGCUGCUGUUUGCAUCUUUUCCUCUUCCCCAGUUAUUUCAGGCUCAUGGCGCUUGCAUGGUGAGAGGGAAAGGGACUAAAGUUGCUGACUCAAUACAACCAAUAUGCACCAAUAUGACAGCAGAGUUUUGCUUUUUCUCUUCAGUCCUGUUUAGCCUGUUCGCAGCUCUUCACAUUUUAAUCCUCAUUCAUCAGGAGACAGAGAGAGAAACAAGAGGAGGAAAUGGCCAUCCAGCCUUUGUUUGCAGCUUAUUAAGGUAGUUCUCUUGUAGCUGCGCCUCCUGCAGGGCUACAAGAAAUAUGUUUUAAUAAGCUGCAAACAAGGCUGUUUAGCUAAUUUCCUCCUCCCUGUGUGGCCAGUUAAUGUGAACAGCCUAGGGGAAACCCAUAUUCCUCAGUGUGACUUCACAGUGAGCGAAUCUGCAUUUGUCUCGCUGUGUAGUCACACGCAUAGCUACGCCCUCCAAAACUGCUACAGAUUAACCGUCCCAUAACUGUUAGGGAUGUGGCCAGUUAAAAAGUCAAAAUGCACUUUUUGUGUUUCCUGAAUGAUCUCACAUUACCCACAUCAUUUUGAAUGCCUUUUCUUCACCUAUCUACAAAUGAACUCAAAUAUUCUCCUGUAAUUCUGGGUUUUGGCAAGAGAGAGCAGCCACUGCUUCCCUAUCCUCACAAUCUCACAAUAUCACAGCAUCUUGAUGUGCUUCGAGGGGGAGGCCGACCCAGCUAGAACAAAGCUCCCUCCACGUCUCAGAGACCUUAAGUGGCUUUUUUUGGUUCCUACUGAAUCUGUAGCAAAGAGUUCAAAAAUUUCCCCAAGAGAAAUGGUUUCCAGGAAUAACAUUUAGUGCUGACGUAAAUCCAGAUCAAGUCCUGUGAGCAACCAGGGGGGAAAAAAGGAACCAAAGGACGUGAAGUCCUCCCACUGUUUGUACGAUCUCUUAGAAUGGUGUUGGCCUUCUCUGCCUCAGCAACACUUGGCUAUCUCAGGCAUGGAGCAGGGCAUAGUCAGGCUUGAUAUCAUCCAACCUAAAGCUAGAUGAUGAAAUAAGCAUCAUAAUAUU
This 1453-nucleotide long non-coding RNA is filed under the name Pogona vitticeps (central bearded dragon). RNAcentral describes it as "lncRNA (ENSPVIG00000006522.1)". Lineage: Eukaryota; Metazoa; Chordata; Lepidosauria; Squamata; Agamidae. The record is from RNAcentral.